AAAGCUUUAAGUUAAACAAACUAUAAACCUUCAAAGUUUAAAAUAUAUCAUAUUAGAUAUAAGCUUUA
This 68-nucleotide transfer RNA is filed under the name Coleoptera sp. 3 KM-2017. Its description in RNAcentral is "tRNA-Trp". Lineage: Eukaryota; Metazoa; Arthropoda; Insecta; Coleoptera. The record is from RNAcentral.